UCCCUGCUGGCUCAGCUGGUAAAGAAUCCACCUGCAAUGCGGGAGACCUGGGUUCGAUCCCUGGGUUGGGAA
This 72-nucleotide transfer RNA is filed under the name Odocoileus virginianus texanus. It matches the Rfam family "tRNA". Rfam says of the family: Transfer RNA (tRNA) molecules are approximately 80 nucleotides in length. Their secondary structure includes four short double-helical elements and three loops (D, anti-codon, and T loops). RNAcentral also lists the same sequence under 2 other names. The record is from Rfam by way of RNAcentral. Lineage: Eukaryota; Metazoa; Chordata; Mammalia; Artiodactyla; Cervidae.